AGAAGAGAGUGUAAUAAUAGAACUGCUAAUUCUAUUUCCCAUAUAUAAAAAUAUGGCUCCCUUG
RNAcentral lists this transfer RNA (64 nucleotides) under Microcebus ravelobensis. Its description in RNAcentral is "tRNA-Ser". Lineage: Eukaryota; Metazoa; Chordata; Mammalia; Primates; Cheirogaleidae. The record is from RNAcentral.